GUACGAACGCUGGCGGCGUGCCUAAUACAUGCAAGUAGAACGCUGAAGAGAGGAGCUUGCUCUUCUUGGAUGAGUUGCGAACGGGUGAGUAACGCGUAGGUAACCUGCCUUGUAGCGGGGGAUAACUAUUGGAAACGAUAGCUAAUACCGCAUAACAAUGGAUGACACAUGUCAUUUAUUUGAAAGGGGCAAAUGCUCCACUACAAGAUGGACCUGCGUUGUAUUAGCUAGUAGGUGAGGUAACGGCUCACCUAGGCGACGAUACAUAGCCGACCUGAGAGGGUGAUCGGCCACACUGGGACUGAGACACGGCCCAGACUCCUACGGGAGGCAGCAGUAGGGAAUCUUCGGCAAUGGGGGCAACCCUGACCGAGCAACGCCGCGUGAGUGAAGAAGGUUUUCGGAUCGUAAAGCUCUGUUGUAAGUCAAGAACGAGUGUGAGAGUGGAAAGUUCACACUGUGACGGUAGCUUACCAGAAAGGGACGGCUAACUACGUGCCAGCAGCCGCGGUAAUACGUAGGUCCCGAGCGUUGUCCGGAUUUAUUGGGCGUAAAGCGAGCGCAGGCGGUUUGAUAAGUCUGAAGUUAAAGGCUGUGGCUCAACCAUAGUUCGCUUUGGAAACUGUCAAACUUGAGUGCAGAAGGGGAGAGUGGAAUUCCAUGUGUAGCGGUGAAAUGCGUAGAUAUAUGGAGGAACACCGGUGGCGAAAGCGGCUCUCUGGUCUGUAACUGACGCUGAGGCUCGAAAGCGUGGGGAGCGAACAGGAUUAGAUACCCUGGUAGUCCACGCCGUAAACGAUGAGUGCUAGGUGUUGGAUCCUUUCCGGGAUUCAGUGCCGCAGCUAACGCAUUAAGCACUCCGCCUGGGGAGUACGACCGCAAGGUUGAAACUCAAAGGAAUUGACGGGGGCCCGCACAAGCGGUGGAGCAUGUGGUUUAAUUCGAAGCAACGCGAAGAACCUUACCAGGUCUUGACAUCCCGAUGCUAUUUCUAGAGAUAGAAAGUUACUUCGGUACAUCGGUGACAGGUGGUGCAUGGUUGUCGUCAGCUCGUGUCGUGAGAUGUUGGGUUAAGUCCCGCAACGAGCGCAACCCCUAUUGUUAGUUGCCAUCAUUCAGUUGGGCACUCUAGCGAGACUGCCGGUAAUAAACCGGAGGAAGGUGGGGAUGACGUCAAAUCAUCAUGCCCCUUAUGACUUGGGCUACACACGUGCUACAAUGGUUGGUACAACGAGUUGCGAGUCGGUGACGGCAAGCUAAUCUCUUAAAGCCAAUCUCAGUUCGGAUUGUAGGCUGCAACUCGCCUACAUGAAGUCGGAAUCGCUAGUAAUCGCGGAUCAGCACGCCGCGGUGAAUACGUUCCCGGGCCUUGUACACACCGCCCGUCACACCACGAGAGUUUGUAACACCCGAAGUCGGUGAGGUAACCUUUUGGAGCCAGCCGCCUAAGGUGGG
RNAcentral lists this ribosomal RNA (1455 nucleotides) under uncultured organism. RNAcentral describes it as "SSU rRNA". It matches the Rfam family "Bacterial small subunit ribosomal RNA". The record is from RNAcentral.